This 253-nucleotide ribosomal RNA is filed under the name uncultured bacterium. Its description in RNAcentral is "partial 16S ribosomal RNA". It matches the Rfam family "Bacterial small subunit ribosomal RNA", at positions 524 to 776 of the family's 1533-position model. The record is from RNAcentral.
GACAGAGGCCUCGAGCGUUAGGCGGAAUCACUGGGCUUAAAGCGUGUGUAGGCGGGCCCCUAAGUACCUUGUGAAAUCCCACGGCUCACCUGUGGAACCGCUGGGUAUACUGGGGGCCUUGGGCCAUUCAGGGGCGACUGGAACAAGCGGUGGAGCGGUGAAAUGCGUAGAUAUCGCUUGGAACGCCGACGGUGAAAACAGGUCGCUGGGAAUGUGCCGACGCUGAGACACGAAAGCCAGGGGAGCAAACGGG